ACAGGUGCUGCAUGGCUGUCGUCAGCUCGUGUUGUGAAAUGUUGGGUUAAGUCCCGCAACGAGCGCAACCCUUAUCCUUUGUUGCCAGCGGUCCGGCCGGGAACUCAAAGGAGACUGCCAGUGAUAAACUGGAGGAAGGUGGGGAUGACGUCAAGUCAUCAUGGCCCUUACGACCAGGGCUACACACGUGCUACAAUGGCGCAUACAAAGAGAAGCGACCUCGCGAGAGCAAGCGGACCUCAUAAAGUGCGUCGUAGUCCGGAUUGGAGUCUGCAACUCGACUCCAUGAAGUCGGAAUCGCUAGUAAUCGUGGAUCAGAAUGCCACGGUGAAUACGUUCCCGGGCCUUGUACACACCGCCCGUCACACCAUGGGAGUGGGUUGCAAAAGAAGUAGGUAGCUUAACCUUCGGGAGGGCGCUUACCACUUUGUGAUUCAUGACUGGGGUGAAGUCGUAACAAGGUAACCGUAGGGGAACCUGCG
RNAcentral lists this ribosomal RNA (482 nucleotides) under Escherichia coli. RNAcentral describes it as "bacterial SSU rRNA". It matches the Rfam family "Bacterial small subunit ribosomal RNA", at positions 1034 to 1516 of the family's 1533-position model. The record is from RNAcentral. Lineage: Bacteria; Pseudomonadati; Pseudomonadota; Gammaproteobacteria; Enterobacterales; Enterobacteriaceae.